Molecule: ribosomal RNA, 253 nt
Filed under: uncultured bacterium
Lineage: Bacteria
Description: partial 16S ribosomal RNA
Rfam family: Bacterial small subunit ribosomal RNA
Source: RNAcentral
UACAGAGGUCUCAAGCGUUGUUCGGAUUCAUUGGGCGUAAAGGGUGCGUAGGUGGCGCCGUAAGUCGGGUGUGAAAUUUCGGAGCUUAACUCCGAAACUGCAUUCGAUACUGCGGUGCUUGAGGACUGGAGAGGAGACUGGAAUUCAUGGUGUAGCAGUGAAAUGCGUAGCGAUCAUGAGGAAGACCAGUGGCGAAGGCGGGUCUCUGGACAGUUCCUGACACUGAGGCACGAAGGCCAGGGGAGCAAACGGG